Molecule: ribosomal RNA, 433 nt
Filed under: uncultured bacterium
Lineage: Bacteria
Description: partial 16S ribosomal RNA
Rfam family: Bacterial small subunit ribosomal RNA
Source: RNAcentral
AACGAACGCUGGCGGCAUGCCUAACACAUGCAAGUCGAACGAGACCUUCGGGUCUAGUGGCGCACGGGUGCGUAACGCGUGGGAACCUGCCCUUAGGUUCGGAAUAACUCCCCGAAAGGGGUGCUAAUACCGGAUAAUGUCUUCGGACCAAAGAUUUAUCGCCUUUGGAUGGGCCCGCGUUGGAUUAGCUAGUUGGUAGGGUAAAAGCCUACCAAGGCGACGAUCCAUAGCUGGUCUGAGAGGAUGAUCAGCCACACUGGGACUGAGACACGGCCCAGACUCCUACGGGAGGCGGCAGUGGGGAAUAUUGGAAAAUGGGGGAAAGCCUGAUCCAGCAAUGCCGGGUGAGUGAUGAAGGCCUUAGGGUUGUAAAGCUCUUUUACCCGGGAUGAUAAUGACAGUACCGGGAGAAUAAGCUCCGGCUAACUCCGUG